RNAcentral lists this ribosomal RNA (448 nucleotides) under Enterococcus faecalis. RNAcentral describes it as "bacterial SSU rRNA". It matches the Rfam family "Bacterial small subunit ribosomal RNA", at positions 388 to 828 of the family's 1533-position model. Lineage: Bacteria; Bacillati; Bacillota; Bacilli; Lactobacillales; Enterococcaceae. The record is from RNAcentral.
CGAGCAACGCCGCGUGAGUGAAGAAGGUUUUCGGAUCGUAAAACUCUGUUGUUAGAGAAGAACAAGGACGUUAGUAACUGAACGUCCCCUGACGGUAUCUAACCAGAAAGCCACGGCUAACUACGUGCCAGCAGCCGCGGUAAUACGUAGGUGGCAAGCGUUGUCCGGAUUUAUUGGGCGUAAAGCGAGCGCAGGCGGUUUCUUAAGUCUGAUGUGAAAGCCCCCGGCUCAACCGGGGAGGGUCAUUGGAAACUGGGAGACUUGAGUGCAGAAGAGGAGAGUGGAAUUCCAUGUGUAGCGGUGAAAUGCGUAGAUAUAUGGAGGAACACCAGUGGCGAAGGCGGCUCUCUGGUCUGUAACUGACGCUGAGGCUCGAAAGCGUGGGGAGCAAACAGGAUUAGAUACCCUGGUAGUCCACGCCGUAAACGAUGAGUGCUAAGUGUUGGAG